GCGGUGUUCCGGUAUUUAUAAAAGAUGUAAAAUGCAAUUACUAAUUUACAAUCACAUGUCAAUAAUGCGUGGAAAAAAGCAACUUAAUUAAGAAGCCGAACACAUGCAUGGGGGGAUAUGACCUUUAUCGGGACUCAGGUUAUCGGGACUCAGGGAUCGGGUGUUUUUAAACUCGGGAUUUCGGGAUUGACCCUUUCAGGAUCCGGGAAUUCUUUUUUUUUUUUGGAUUUCGGGAUUUCGGAUUGUCGGGAUUAAACUUAUUAAAACUCGGGACUUCCGGAUUUCGUGUUUUUGAGCCCGGGAUUUCGGAAUCAGUACCCCUUCUAUCCCCCUCAUGCAUGCAAUUUAAAUAUUUACUCUGUGUUAAUGAAGUGGAUUAACCAACCGAAGGGCGAGGUGUCUGGGGGCCGCCUAAGGCCCCCAGUAGGUCCAGGGGGCGAAGCCUCCCGGACGCUCAGCAUAAAUAUAGCGUUUUAAAACAGUUACGACCGUAUCAAAAUUUGUACAUUUUUGUUGUGUUUUUAUUUUUAUUUUUUUGUCAAUUGUUUGUUUAACUUCGAAAUGUUCGAGUCGAAUUAAGACUUAUAAAACAU
Molecule: long non-coding RNA, 593 nt
Filed under: Mytilus galloprovincialis (Mediterranean mussel)
Lineage: Eukaryota; Metazoa; Mollusca; Bivalvia; Mytilida; Mytilidae
Source: RNAcentral